This 468-nucleotide ribosomal RNA is filed under the name uncultured bacterium. Its description in RNAcentral is "partial 16S ribosomal RNA". It matches the Rfam family "Bacterial small subunit ribosomal RNA", at positions 28 to 507 of the family's 1533-position model. The record is from RNAcentral.
GACGAACGCUGGCGGCGUGCUUAACACAUGCAAGUCGAACGGAAAGGCCCUGCUUUUGUGGGGUGCUCGAGUGGCGAACGGGUGAGUAACACGUGAGUAACCUGCCCUUGACUUUGGGAUAACUUCAGGAAACUGGGGCUAAUACCGGAUAGGAGCUCCUGCUGCAUGGUGGGGGUUGGAAAUUUUCGGCGGUUGGGGAUGGACUCGCGGCUUAUCAGCUUGUUGGUGGGGUAGUGGCUUACCAAGGCUUUGACGGGUAGCCGGCCUGAGAGGGUGACCGGCCACAUUGGGACUGAGAUACGGCCCAGACUCCUACGGGAGGCAGCAGUGGCGAAUAUUGCACAAUGGGCGGAAGCCUGAUGCAGCAACGCCGCGUGCGGGAUGACGGCCUUCGGGUUGUAACCCGCUUUCGCCUGUGACGAAGCGUGAGUGACGGUAAUGGGUAAAGAAGCACCGGCUAACUACGUG